Molecule: ribosomal RNA, 737 nt
Filed under: uncultured bacterium
Lineage: Bacteria
Description: bacterial SSU rRNA
Rfam family: Bacterial small subunit ribosomal RNA
Source: RNAcentral
AGAGUUUGAUCCUGGCUCAGAUUGAACGCUGGCGGCAGGCCUAACACAUGCAGGUCGAGCGGAAACGGCAGUAUUGAAGCUUCGGUGGAUUUACUGGACGUCGAGCGGCGGACGGGUGAGUAACGGCUGGGAACCUGCCCUGAUGAGGGGGAUAACCGUUGGAAACGACGGCUAAUACCGCAUAAUGUCUUAGUUCAUUACGAGCUGGGACCAAAGGUGGCCUCUACAUGUAAGCUAUCGCGUUGGGAUGGGCCCAGUUAGGAUUAGCUAGUUGGUAAGGUAAUGGCUUACCAAGGCAACGAUCCUUAGCUGGUUUGAGAGGAUGAUCAGCCACACUGGGACUGAGACACGGCCCAGACUCCUACGGGAGGCAGCAGUGGGGAAUAUUGCACAAUGGGGGAGACCCUGAUGCAGCCAUGCCGCGUGUGUGAAGAAGGCCUUCGGGUUGUAAAGCACUUUCAGCAGUGAGGAAGGUCGUGUACUUAAUACGUGCACGGCUUGACGUUAGCUGCAGAAGAAGCACCGGCUAACUCCGUGCCAGCAGCCGCGGUAAUACGGAGGGUGCGAGCGUUAAUCGGAAUUACUGGGCGUAAAGCGCAUGCAGGCGGUUUGUUAAGUCAGAUGUGAAAGCCCGGGGCUCAACCUCGGAACCGCAUUUGAAACUGGCAGGCUAGAGUCUUGUAGAGGGGGGUAGAAUUUCAGUGUAGCGGUGAAAUGCGUAGAGAUCUGAAGGAAUA